CCUACGGGAGGCAGCAGUGGGGAAUAUUGCACAAUGGGGGAAACCCUGAUGCAGCGACGCCGCGUGAGUGAAGAAGUAAUUCGUUAUUGAAAGCUCUAUCAGCAGGGAGGAAAAUGACGGUACCUGAGUAUGAAUCCCCGUCUAACUACGUGCCAGCAGCCGCGGUAAUACGUAGGCGGCAAGCGUUAUCCGGAUUUACUGGGUGUAAAGGGAGUGUAGUCGGCAGUGCAAGUCUGGAGUGAAUGGCGGAGGCUCAACCCCCGGACUGCUCUGGAAACUGUACGGCUGGAGUGCAGGAGAGGUAAGUGGAAUGCCUAGUGUAGCGGUGAAAUGCGUAGAUAUUAGGAAGAACACCAGUGGCGAAGGCAGCUUACUGGACUAUAACUGACGUUGAGGCUCGAAAGCGUGGGGAGCAAACAGGAUUAGAUACCCCGGUAGUC
RNAcentral lists this ribosomal RNA (440 nucleotides) under uncultured bacterium. Its description in RNAcentral is "partial 16S ribosomal RNA". It matches the Rfam family "Bacterial small subunit ribosomal RNA", at positions 338 to 795 of the family's 1533-position model. The record is from RNAcentral.